Molecule: long non-coding RNA, 1345 nt
Filed under: Hordeum vulgare subsp. vulgare (domesticated barley)
Lineage: Eukaryota; Viridiplantae; Streptophyta; Magnoliopsida; Poales; Poaceae
Description: 77TARMSHOOT
Source: RNAcentral
GGGCCGGUCUAGCUUGCUGCAUCGAUUCACGAGCUUGUNCGAUUGUUCAGCGAGUUUGUACUUUGUUCAACAAGUUGGUCGCUUGUGCAAGAAGUUUGUUCUGCUUUCAAAGAAUAUAGUCGAUAGUUGAAAGCGAAUGCUAAGUUUACGAUGUGUUGAUUGAAACAACAAAAUCUGGGUUACGUUUUGUAGGGUUUCUGAGCUCGAGAUAAUGAAUUGGAGGGGAGGAGCGGCACGGUCGCCUCGCUGUCGGAGAGGUAGAAGUGGAGGACCAGGAGGCUACAGAGGAAUGCCCGAGCGAUUGGGCAGAACAGCCAACGUUAUUCCUGAGCAAGAGUGAGAGGUACAAGUGCGAUCGAAUCCGGCAUUAGAUCUGACCGUAAGCGAUACAAACUAGCGUUACGCCUGCAGUAGGUCGGCCGCUGUGGUUGAGGAAGUCGUUUUACCUUUGUCUUGUCAAAUUUAGCUGCUUAAUACUUGUCUGGUUAUGUUCCAGGACUGAGUUUUAUGUAAUGUGAGGAUUAUAUGUGGUUAUGACUGACUUUUAGCCACCUAUUAUCUUUAAGCUACUCUGAAUAGGUACUUUUGACCUUGCAUUUGUUCUGUCUGCAUCUUUUUGCGUUGGGAAAUGCCGUACCUCAUUUGUAGCUGCCAGUGAAAGGUUCAUCAAAUGAACUUCGGAAAGGGUUUGUUUUUUGGGCAAGCACCAAGUGGUAAUUUGAACUGAAACAUAAACUUCCAGGCGCCAAUUGGAAAAUGUGAAAGAGGCACACGUACGGUAAAAGGGGGACCUUCUUGUUUAACAUCGCACAUACCCGUGUAAAAAGAAGAACAAGGGGGUGAGAAUAGAGAAACGGCUCCGUUGAAGACAAACACAAGGGGCGUUGAGGAGGGGGAAAUCGUUGCGAAAAAACGCAAAGACCCUUGUAUUCGUGGACAAAAACCUUGUGGACCGGGGAAAUUAACUUUUGGAUGAUUUUUCAUAACCCAUAAGAAAAGGAGCAAAUACCCCCGGGUGGGAACCACAAGUAACCCUCUUUGGAGAAGGAGAAACCAGUGAAUGAAAGACGGACCACCUUAUUCCUUUGUGGAAAAGUACACAAGGGCUUUGGGUAGAGAGGUAUGGUUGGGGGUAUGAGUCUGGGGUAUGGGGAUGGGAGGUAGAACCGACCGGGUCCUUGUUUUUUUCUGGUUUUGGGAAUCCACGACGCGGGCCCUUGGUGUGAGCACCGGGCGCGGUGGAGUCUGGAAAGAGGAAGGGGAGGGGAGAAUGGGGGUGCGCGGGUUGGAUAAAUUCACAGAAUUAUACCGGUCGGGCGGGCGGGCGGGAGGGGAGGAGAAAAAA